CCAAGAAAUUCUAUUGAUUCCGUUCAGCGAAAGGGAAGUUGUCCUUCUAUCACGAGUUUUAUACCCCCCCCCCCGGGGAUCAUCCAGGUCAAUCUGCAUGAGUUUUGCUGUUCAUACAUGAGCCAUAGAAGCAAGCUGCCUGCCUAAAAUAAGGCUUUGUGAAUAAGCAGUUCCAUAAGCUCCAGUUACAAUUCGCUGACCGAGUAGCUACAACUUCAAGAGGGGAAUUCGCGUAAAAGUGGGCUUUUGUUUUUGCUUCCUCGAACGGGUGGAGAAAGAUUUUUAUUACCCUUUAUUCCAGGGGAAGGGAGUUGGUUUAUAACCAGACUCUGAAGUUUUCUACUAGGUAGAGUAUUUCAAAAAAAUAAGCUAGAAUAGAGGGCGUGAUAGUCCAAUUCUACAUAGUUCUGUGAUCCGCCGAACGAAGUGGUUCCAACGAACCGGACCGGGAGAGAGAAAGAAUUCUUUUUUCAAGGCUGCCGGUGGGCUGGGCCCGAGCUCGGUUUGGAAGGAAGCCUCUUUAGAUGAGAAGGAGGAUGCUACCAAGGC
This 549-nucleotide long non-coding RNA is filed under the name Nicotiana benthamiana. RNAcentral's name for it is "long non-coding RNA (NBEN_LNC011482)". The record is from RNAcentral. Lineage: Eukaryota; Viridiplantae; Streptophyta; Magnoliopsida; Solanales; Solanaceae.